CAAAAACAUGUCCUUUUGUUUAUUUAUAUAAGGUCUGACCUGCCCAAUGAGGAAUUGAAUGGCCGCAGUAUUUUAACUGUGCUAAGGUAGCAUAAUCAUUUGUCUUUUAAUUGAGGGCUGGAAUGAAGGGUUGGACGAGGUAUUAACUUUCUUUGAUUUAAUAGGGUGAAUUUAAUUUUUGAGUUAAAAAGCUUAAAUUUAUUUGUGGGACGAGAAGACCCUAUAGAUCUUUAUAAUUUUAUAUUUUAAUAAUUUAGGGAUUUAUAUGUUUUAAGUAGAUGAAUUAUUUUGUUGGGGUGACUGUAGAAUUUGAAUAACUUCUAUUAUUUUAUUUCAUUAAUUAGUGUUUUUAUGAUCCAUAUUUUAUGAUUAUAAGAUUAAGUUACCUUAGGGAUAACAGCGUAAUUUCCUCGGAGAGUUCAUAUUGAUGAGGGAGUUUGCGACCUCGAUGUUGGAUUAAAAUAAGUUAUAGAUGCAGGAGUCUAUUUACUAGGUCUGUUCGACCUUUAAAUUUUUACAUGAUCUGAGUUCAAACCGGAGA
RNAcentral lists this ribosomal RNA (541 nucleotides) under Triatoma platensis. RNAcentral's name for it is "partial 16S ribosomal RNA". It matches the Rfam family "Bacterial large subunit ribosomal RNA", at positions 1808 to 2622 of the family's 2925-position model. Lineage: Eukaryota; Metazoa; Arthropoda; Insecta; Hemiptera; Reduviidae. The record is from RNAcentral.